This 2902-nucleotide ribosomal RNA is filed under the name Escherichia coli. RNAcentral's name for it is "bacterial LSU rRNA". It matches the Rfam family "Bacterial large subunit ribosomal RNA". The record is from RNAcentral. Lineage: Bacteria; Pseudomonadati; Pseudomonadota; Gammaproteobacteria; Enterobacterales; Enterobacteriaceae.
UUAAGCGACUAAGCGUACACGGUGGAUGCCCUGGCAGUCAGAGGCGAUGAAGGACGUGCUAAUCUGCGAUAAGCGUCGGUAAGGUGAUAUGAACCGUUAUAACCGGCGAUUUCCGAAUGGGGAAACCCAGUGUGUUUCGACACACUAUCAUUAACUGAAUCCAUAGGUUAAUGAGGCGAACCGGGGGAACUGAAACAUCUAAGUACCCCGAGGAAAAGAAAUCAACCGAGAUUCCCCCAGUAGCGGCGAGCGAACGGGGAGCAGCCCAGAGCCUGAAUCAGUAUGUGUGUUAGUGGAAGCGUCUGGAAAGGCGCGCGAUACAGGGUGACAGCCCCGUACACAAAAAUGCACAUGCUGUGAGCUCGAUGAGUAGGGCGGGACACGUGGUAUCCUGUCUGAAUAUGGGGGGACCAUCCUCCAAGGCUAAAUACUCCUGACUGACCGAUAGUGAACCAGUACCGUGAGGGAAAGGCGAAAAGAACCCCGGCGAGGGGAGUGAAAAAGAACCUGAAACCGUGUACGUACAAGCAGUGGGAGCACGCUUAGGCGUGUGACUGCGUACCUUUUGUAUAAUGGGUCAGCGACUUAUAUUCUGUAGCAAGGUUAACCGAAUAGGGGAGCCGAAGGGAAACCGAGUCUUAACUGGGCGUUAAGUUGCAGGGUAUAGACCCGAAACCCGGUGAUCUAGCCAUGGGCAGGUUGAAGGUUGGGUAACACUAACUGGAGGACCGAACCGACUAAUGUUGAAAAAUUAGCGGAUGACUUGUGGCUGGGGGUGAAAGGCCAAUCAAACCGGGAGAUAGCUGGUUCUCCCCGAAAGCUAUUUAGGUAGCGCCUCGUGAAUUCAUCUCCGGGGGUAGAGCACUGUUUCGGCAAGGGGGUCAUCCCGACUUACCAACCCGAUGCAAACUGCGAAUACCGGAGAAUGUUAUCACGGGAGACACACGGCGGGUGCUAACGUCCGUCGUGAAGAGGGAAACAACCCAGACCGCCAGCUAAGGUCCCAAAGUCAUGGUUAAGUGGGAAACGAUGUGGGAAGGCCCAGACAGCCAGGAUGUUGGCUUAGAAGCAGCCAUCAUUUAAAGAAAGCGUAAUAGCUCACUGGUCGAGUCGGCCUGCGCGGAAGAUGUAACGGGGCUAAACCAUGCACCGAAGCUGCGGCAGCGACGCUUAUGCGUUGUUGGGUAGGGGAGCGUUCUGUAAGCCUGCGAAGGUGUGCUGUGAGGCAUGCUGGAGGUAUCAGAAGUGCGAAUGCUGACAUAAGUAACGAUAAAGCGGGUGAAAAGCCCGCUCGCCGGAAGACCAAGGGUUCCUGUCCAACGUUAAUCGGGGCAGGGUGAGUCGACCCCUAAGGCGAGGCCGAAAGGCGUAGUCGAUGGGAAACAGGUUAAUAUUCCUGUACUUGGUGUUACUGCGAAGGGGGGACGGAGAAGGCUAUGUUGGCCGGGCGACGGUUGUCCCGGUUUAAGCGUGUAGGCUGGUUUUCCAGGCAAAUCCGGAAAAUCAAGGCUGAGGCGUGAUGACGAGGCACUACGGUGCUGAAGCAACAAAUGCCCUGCUUCCAGGAAAAGCCUCUAAGCAUCAGGUAACAUCAAAUCGUACCCCAAACCGACACAGGUGGUCAGGUAGAGAAUACCAAGGCGCUUGAGAGAACUCGGGUGAAGGAACUAGGCAAAAUGGUGCCGUAACUUCGGGAGAAGGCACGCUGAUAUGUAGGUGAAGUCCCUCGCGGAUGGAGCUGAAAUCAGUCGAAGAUACCAGCUGGCUGCAACUGUUUAUUAAAAACACAGCACUGUGCAAACACGAAAGUGGACGUAUACGGUGUGACGCCUGCCCGGUGCCGGAAGGUUAAUUGAUGGGGUUAGCGCAAGCGAAGCUCUUGAUCGAAGCCCCGGUAAACGGCGGCCGUAACUAUAACGGUCCUAAGGUAGCGAAAUUCCUUGUCGGGUAAGUUCCGACCUGCACGAAUGGCGUAAUGAUGGCCAGGCUGUCUCCACCCGAGACUCAGUGAAAUUGAACUCGCUGUGAAGAUGCAGUGUACCCGCGGCAAGACGGAAAGACCCCGUGAACCUUUACUAUAGCUUGACACUGAACAUUGAGCCUUGAUGUGUAGGAUAGGUGGGAGGCUUUGAAGUGUGGACGCCAGUCUGCAUGGAGCCGACCUUGAAAUACCACCCUUUAAUGUUUGAUGUUCUAACGUUGACCCGUGAUCCGGGUUGCGGACAGUGUCUGGUGGGUAGUUUGACUGGGGCGGUCUCCUCCUAAAGAGUAACGGAGGAGCACGAAGGUUGGCUAAUCCUGGUCGGACAUCAGGAGGUUAGUGCAAUGGCAUAAGCCAGCUUGACUGCGAGCGUGACGGCGCGAGCAGGUGCGAAAGCAGGUCAUAGUGAUCCGGUGGUUCUGAAUGGAAGGGCCAUCGCUCAACGGAUAAAAGGUACUCCGGGGAUAACAGGCUGAUACCGCCCAAGAGUUCAUAUCGACGGCGGUGUUUGGCACCUCGAUGUCGGCUCAUCACAUCCUGGGGCUGAAGUAGGUCCCAAGGGUAUGGCUGUUCGCCAUUUAAAGUGGUACGCGAGCUGGGUUUAGAACGUCGUGAGACAGUUCGGUCCCUAUCUGCCGUGGGCGCUGGAGAACUGAGGGGGGCUGCUCCUAGUACGAGAGGACCGGAGUGGACGCAUCACUGGUGUUCGGGUUGUCAUGCCAAUGGCACUGCCCGGUAGCUAAAUGCGGAAGAGAUAAGUGCUGAAAGCAUCUAAGCACGAAACUUGCCCCGAGAUGAGUUCUCCCUGACUCCUUGAGAGUCCUGAAGGAACGUUGAAGACGACGACGUUGAUAGGCCGGGUGUGUAAGCGCAGCGAUGCGUUGAGCUAACCGGUACUAAUGAACCGUGAGGCUUAACCUU